This 460-nucleotide ribosomal RNA is filed under the name uncultured bacterium. RNAcentral's name for it is "partial 16S ribosomal RNA". It matches the Rfam family "Bacterial small subunit ribosomal RNA", at positions 338 to 795 of the family's 1533-position model. The record is from RNAcentral.
CCUACGGGAGGCAGCAGUGAGGAAUAUUGGUCAAUGGACGCAAGUCUGAACCAGCCAUGCCGCGUGCAGGAAGACGGCUCUAUGAGUUGUAAACUGCUUUUGUACGAGGGUAAACGCAGAGACGCAUAGCUGUCUGAAAGUAUCUUAAGAAUAAGGAUCGGCUAACUCCGUGCCAGCAGCCGCGGUAAUACGGAGGAUUCGAGCGUUAUCCGGAUUUAUUGGGUUUAAAGGGUGCGUAGGCGGUCAGAUAAGUUAGAGGUGAAAUCCCGAGGCUCAACUUCGGAAUUGCAUUUGAUACUGUUUGGCUAGAGAGUAGUUGAGGUAGGCGGAAUGUAUGGUGUAGCGGUGAAAUGCUUAGAGAUCAGGCAGAACACCGAUUGCGAAGGCAGCUUACCAAGCUACUUCUGACGUUGAGGUACGAAAGCGUGGGGAGCAAACAGGAUUAGAUACCCUAGUAGUC